GUCCGUGUAUUUUAAUUUAAAAUACAAAUUUGUGGUGUUUGAGAUAAGUAGUGCUUUGCGGGCA
Molecule: transfer RNA, 64 nt
Filed under: Embiophila sp.
Lineage: Eukaryota; Metazoa; Arthropoda; Insecta; Hemiptera; Plokiophilidae
Description: tRNA-His
Source: RNAcentral